Molecule: ribosomal RNA, 598 nt
Filed under: Salmonella enterica subsp. enterica serovar Enteritidis
Lineage: Bacteria; Pseudomonadati; Pseudomonadota; Gammaproteobacteria; Enterobacterales; Enterobacteriaceae
Description: partial 23S ribosomal RNA
Rfam family: Bacterial large subunit ribosomal RNA
Source: RNAcentral
GGGUUGUGAGGUUAAGCGACUAAGCGUACACGGUGGAUGCCCUGGCAGUCAGAGGCGAUGAAGGGCGUACUAAUCUGCGAUAAGCGCCGGUAAGGUGAUAUGAACCGUUAUAACCGGCGAUACCCGAAUGGGGAAACCCAGUGUGAUUCGUCACACUAUCAUUAACUGAAUCCAUAGGUUAAUGAGGCGAACCGGGGGAACUGAAACAUCUAAGUACCCCGAGGAAAAGAAAUCAACCGAGAUUCCCCCAGUAGCGGCGAGCGAACGGGGAGGAGCCCAGAGCCUGAAUCAGCAUGUGUGUUAGUGGAAGCGUCUGGAAAGGCGCGCGAUACAGGGUGACAGCCCCGUACACAAAAGCGCAUGUGCUGUGAGCUCGAUGAGUAGGGCGGGACACGUGGUAUCCUGUCUGAAUAUGGGGGGACCAUCCUCCAAGGCUAAAUACUCCUGACUGACCGAUAGUGAACCAGUACCGUGAGGGAAAGGCGAAAAGAACCCCGGCGAGGGGAGUGAAAAAGAACCUGAAACCGUGUACGUACAAGCAGUGGGAGCCCCACCACCAAAGCAUUUGCUGUACCGCGUUGACGGAGCGAAGCGACGU